GAUGAACGCUCGCGGCAGGCUUAACACAUGCAAGUCGAGGGGUAUUUAUCUUCGGAUAGAGAGACCGGCGCACGGGUGCGUAACGCGUAUGCAAUCUACCUUUUACAGAGGGAUAGCCCAGAGAAAUUUGGAUUAAUACCUCAUAGUAUAUAGACUCGGCAUCGCGAUUAUAUUAAAGUCACAACGGUAAAAGAUGAGCAUGCGUCCCAUUAGCUAGUUGGUAAGGUAACGGCUUACCAAGGCUACGAUGGGUAGGGGUCCUGAGAGGGAGAUCCCCCACACUGGGACUGAGACACGGACCAGACUCCUACGGGAGGCAGCAGUGAGGAAUAGUGGACAAUGGGCGCAAGCCUGAUCCAGCCAUGCCGCGUGCAGGAUGACGGUCCUAUGGAUUGUAAACUGCUUUUAGACGAGAAGAAACACUGCUACGGGUAGCAGCUUGACGGUAUCGUAAGAAUAAGGAUCGGCUAACUACGUG
Molecule: ribosomal RNA, 478 nt
Filed under: uncultured bacterium
Lineage: Bacteria
Description: partial 16S ribosomal RNA
Rfam family: Bacterial small subunit ribosomal RNA
Source: RNAcentral